Non-coding RNA from Acanthosepion pharaonis, 109 nucleotides. NCBI's taxonomy places the organism in Eukaryota, Metazoa, Mollusca, Cephalopoda, Sepiida, Sepiidae. The record is from the annotation of a GenBank genome assembly.
GCCAUAUCACAUUUAAAUACCGGUUCUCGUCCGAUCACAGAAGUUAAGCAACGUCGAGCCUGAUCAGUACUUCGAUGGGUGACUGCUUGAGAGAUCCAAGUGUUGCAAG